Molecule: ribosomal RNA, 433 nt
Filed under: uncultured bacterium
Lineage: Bacteria
Description: partial 16S ribosomal RNA
Rfam family: Bacterial small subunit ribosomal RNA
Source: RNAcentral
AACGAACGCUGGCGGCAGGCCUAACACAUGCAAGUCGAGCGGACCCUUCGGGGUUAGCGGCGGACGGGUGAGUAACGCGUGGGAAUAUGCCCUUCUCUACGGAAUAGUCCUGGGAAACUGGGGGUAAUACCGUAUACGCCCUUUGGGGGAAAGAUUUAUCGGGGAAGGAUUAGCCCGCGUUGGAUUAGGUAGUUGGUGGGGUAAUGGCCUACCAAGCCGACGAUCCAUAGCUGGUUUGAGAGGAUGAUCAGCCACACUGGGACUGAGACACGGCCCAGACUCCUACGGGAGGCAGCAGUGGGGAAUCUUAGACAAUGGGGGCAACCAUGAUCUAGCCAUGCCGCGUGAGUGAUGAAGGCCUUAGGGUUGUAAAGCUCUUUCAGCUGGGAAGAUAAUGACGGUACCAGCAGAAGAAGCCCCGGCUAACUCCGUG